AGGGACCCGGCAGCCAGACAGACGGACAGGCGGACCGCUAGGGAGCUCAAGUACCCGGACACACGCACGAGCGCAGAACAAAGGGCCGGACAUGCUCCAGCCCGCUCCGCCUGCGCCUCGGCCUUGCGCGCGGGGGCCCGGGUUACCUGCGCAGUGCCCUUGGUGUGGUGGAAGCAAGGUGCCAUGUGAUAAGUAAGCCUCCAGAGAGGCCUGCAUGGCAGGAUCCAAUGUCUUUAGCCAACAGCAUCUGGGAACCUGAGACCUGCCAACACCCUUGUGAGUGAGCCUGGAAGUGGACCUCCUGCUCUUGAACCUUGAGGUGACUAUAGUGCUGGCUGACACCUUGACUGCAGUCCCUGAGCUGGGGGGCCCAGCUGAUCUACUCCCAGAAUCCCCCCUACUAAAACAGUGAUAUAAUAAAUGCUUAUUGUUUCAAGCUGGUAACUUUUGGAAUGCAUUCACUGAAAAAAAUUAGAAUAUCAAACUAUAAACCGUUUACUUAGUCAACUUUUUGGGGAACUAAUAUGGCCAUAAAUAUCAAACCUCCUACAAUUUUGCACAUUCUUUGACUUUGUAGUUCUACAUCUAUAAACUUCUCUUAAGGGAAAUCAUGGAUGCCAACAAAGAAA
This is a long non-coding RNA of Homo sapiens (human), 629 nucleotides long. Ensembl annotates it as SPINT1 antisense RNA 1. Its record names the gene SPINT1-AS1. The record is from Ensembl. NCBI's taxonomy places the organism in Eukaryota, Metazoa, Chordata, Mammalia, Primates, Hominidae.